CACUCCUACGGGAGGCAGCAGUGAGGAAUAUUGGACAAUGGGUGGAAGCCUGAUCCAGCCAUCCCGCGUGCAGGAAGACGGCCCUAUGGGUUGUAAACUGCUUUUAUCUGGGGAUAAACCUACUUACGUGUAAGUAGCUGAAGGUACCAGAAGAAUAAGCACCGGCUAACUCCGUGCCAGCAGCCGCGGUAAUACGGAGGGUGCAAGCGUUAUCCGGAUUUAUUGGGUUUAAAGGGUCCGUAGGCGGACUGAUAAGUCAGUGGUGAAAUCCGACAGCUUAACUGUCGAACUGCCAUUGAUACUGUUAGUCUUGAGUAAGGUUGAAGUGGCUGGAAUAAGUAGUGUAGCGGUGAAAUGCAUAGAUAUUACUUAGAACACCAAUUGCGAAGGCAGGUCACUAAGUCUUAACUGACGCUGAUGGACGAAAGCGUGGGGAGCGAACAGGAUUAGAAACCCUUGUAGUCCCA
This 467-nucleotide ribosomal RNA is filed under the name uncultured organism. RNAcentral's name for it is "partial 16S ribosomal RNA". It matches the Rfam family "Bacterial small subunit ribosomal RNA", at positions 334 to 797 of the family's 1533-position model. The record is from RNAcentral.